Molecule: long non-coding RNA, 3049 nt
Filed under: Triticum aestivum (bread wheat)
Lineage: Eukaryota; Viridiplantae; Streptophyta; Magnoliopsida; Poales; Poaceae
Description: long non-coding RNA (TAES_LNC000445)
Source: RNAcentral
ACAGGUAUAAUCGAGUAAUAAUUUAAGUCCACUUCACUUACAUUGUAAACUGUUAAUAAAAGGCAAUUUGACAAUGCAUACAUAUAGUGCGAUGAUCAAACUAAAAAUUUGUUACAAAUUAAUAUCUAUUUGAUGCGUUUAACAAAUUCUUGCAUAAUAACCGUCCACCAUGACCGCUCCACCACCAUCCUGAGGCUCGACAUGAGUCAACUUUAAUCGUGCCAAAUAUACAUUGUUUGGAUCCUCAUGCACAUUAAGCAACAUUCUUAAUUUUUUUUCUACCUAUAAACCACUAUUCUUCUUCGUCUUCGUUCUCCUGCUCCUCUUCACUUACUAUCUCUACAUUCCCUGUCCAAGCCAACCGCAACCAUCAAUGGCCCAUCCGGCUCAAAAUCCCCAAACCUUCUACACCCAGACUACAAAUUUUAAGGGACUUUUUGCCAAUAUUUUCUCCUUUCAAGUCUGCAAACAACAAUAUUAAUGUAAAGUAAUUAGUGUAAAGUGGUUUAUGCCCACUCAUGGCCAGUACAACCACAAACUCUGCCGUCUCGCCUACAUGAUGUGUGUCUACUCCCACAAUUUUCCCCCUUACUCUAGCGAGGCCUCCAUUACUUCCGAAUAUUUUGUUCGGAUUAUUUGCCAUCAAGGAUAAAUUAGCAUAUGUGAUAAAAGUCCCUAUGAUUUGACACUAUAGAGGUAGAGCAACAUGAAAAAUAAAAGAUCAUGCUUAUAAUCUUUGGACUUUUGUAGUUUAAAAAAAUGGCGAUAAUCUUACAACAUUUUUCAAACUCCCGUCCUAAUUGAAAAUGAUUGAUGCAUUAAGGAACACCUAUGGAAUCCAAAAAAAAAACUAAUAGCAAGCGACAGUGACAUGGAUGGCUACCUUAUUGCUUUGGAAGUGGAUGGCAUGAGCCGUCCCCCAUAUGCACGAAACAGUCCUAGCCAUGCACAGUUAGCCAAGAAACAUUGGGUCAAAACAAGGGUGUUGGUACCUUGAGCAACGACGCCAUCACGUUGAUAAAUGCCCAACCCAAUUGCUCGUCGCCAUCCUCGGCCACCACCUGGACACACUCCUCUAGACCCAGGCGUUUCGAACGACAUCCUCCCUGCUUCCCCUGGGCGAUGGCCGACUACCGUAACUUCUCUGGAGCGAAUCCUUCCAAAGCGCUGCCGACAACAUCGUCCCUGUGGCGCUGCUCCUUCCUUUUCGUGCCUUUUGCUUCAUUCACCUCCUUCCUAUGAAGUUUUAGUUACAAGGUACAUUUCAGUAAUCAGUAAAAAAUGCAGAUAUUAGUACAAGAAAAAUGUGCCACUUGACAAAGUUUUAGUAGAAAUCAGAUUUUCGUACAACAAGAUAUUUUAGUACGUACUAAAAAGAAUAGUACAAGGGCAAUAAUCCAAACAAUAUCAUCAGAAGUAUGAAACUGAACCUUUAGUCGCAGCAGGUGACUACCCUUGUCAUCUCAAGAUUCAAGCCUCUCCUCUUAUCUUGUUCUCCGAGCAUGCACUAAAAACUGCAAAAAAUACAGAACAUGUACAUGUGUGAACUGAAAUAGUGGAACUCAAACAAACCUUCAUCGAUAGAUCUUUCUUGAACUAUAUGGUCGAUUAUGUACAUGGUCCUCAUAAUGAAAACUAAAAUAUUGAGUUAGCCUUUCCCAUAUCUUUUUUGAAGAAAAUCAUAAGCAUCAGCACCUACUAUGUGGAAGACAAAUCUCCCAGCUUGUUUAUGAUUCAGAACUCAACUGCAUUCAGGCCAAUACGAAUAGCAUCUCAAGGAUCUAGGUAAAUACCUGGAACAAAACUCAAUGAAGAACCAUAACAUCAGUCAAAACUAAACAUGGAAAUUUUGAACUCACUGACUUUAUGUCAGUCCAGUAGAACGCCCGUGCAUUGCUACGGGCUACAAUGCAUAUAAAUAAAUCAAAAAAAUAAUUAAAUUCUAAAGUGGAAGCUCAUUUCUCCCUCCUACUUUCGAGUGUGAACGUACAUCAAACGGACAUCUAACAGGAUCCCCAAAAUUCAACCGUCUGGAGAAUAGGGUAUCUUCAAAUCCAUGCAUAUCCAUAUGUGAGGAAGAAAUAUGGUUAUCCAGACUAUCUGCCAUGUUAUCUCUAACAUGCGCGGACCGAACAAAUUAAAAAAAACACCCACGACGCACCCUUCUCCUUCCCUGCCGAACCCUCACCUCCCCGCUCAUUUCCCGCCAUAGCGGGACAUUUUUCACUGGAGCCCUCUCCAUUGAAACCAGAUAACGCCCAUCUCACCUUUGUCAUGUCGCACUCUCUUCUUCACAUUGUAUUUCCCCACGGACCGCCGAGGAGUCCCCCGCCAACCGCCCCGCUCUCCAUUUUGUUCCCCUCCCCAUGUGUUUCUGUCGAUAGGGGGGAGUUGUGCGCCACCUAUGACACCCUCCGAGCCAAGAAGGUAGAUCUGAUGUCUCCUUAGCCAUUUUCAGAUUGUAACAUAUAGUUCCCCUCCCCAUGUGUUUUUGUGGAACCAACGUCGGGGGUCAGCUGAGCGCCACCCUGGCGCUGGUUUUGGCAAUGCUCCAUGUGCCCAGAGAUUCCGCAUGAUCCACCGAUGCAGUGAAGGCAGGAUAUUCCUGUUAGUACUGUAUAUAUGUCAUUAGGGCCUCUUGUACUGCCUUCAAGAUUAAAAAAAUAGAUCUAUACAAGAAAAGCAGAUCCUUCAAAAUUGCAAUAUCAACAAAUAUUACACCUAUGCAUUACUAAGGUCUAAGGAGUAUUAAAAUAUGAGAUUUACAGGAAACAAAUUGGAAAACUAUUGAGAUAUUUCAAAAGAGAAAACAUAUAUACAAGGGAAUAUAUUGCUUCAAUUCUCACAUUUUCAGGCCUGUCACCUCCAUCGUAAUUAUAUGCGUCUUUAUCCCUCUAGGACUACAGGAGAAAAAUGCAUAUGCACACGUUAGUGGGUACCAUGUUAACAAAAGAAAGUUCUUUCGAUUAACAAUAGCAGUACCAUAAAUGUUGUUCCACUUCUCUACAGCGCAAUGGUUGCCUGGCACUGAAAAGUCUAUCUCAUUCUU